GAACGCACCUUGCACCCUUUGGUAUUCCGAAGGGUAUGCUCGUUUGAGUGUCAUUGUACUCUCACACUUCUGAUCUUUGGAUUGGGAGCGGUGGACUUGGGUGUUGCUGCUUUACUGUGGCUCACCUCAAAUGCAGUAGUGCAACUCUUGGUUGGACAUAGUACGGCGUGAUAAGUGUCUUCGCCGGCACCUCGAAAGAGGGUGGCUGAUCAGGAGCUCUGUGCUUCCAACUGUCUUCGGACAACUACUGACAACUUGACCUCAAAUCGAGUAGGACCACCCGCUGAACUUA
RNAcentral lists this unclassified non-coding RNA (292 nucleotides) under uncultured Sebacina. RNAcentral's name for it is "sequence contains 5.8S rRNA gene". Lineage: Eukaryota; Fungi; Basidiomycota; Agaricomycetes; Sebacinales; Sebacinaceae. The record is from RNAcentral.